Molecule: long non-coding RNA, 235 nt
Filed under: Prunus persica (peach)
Lineage: Eukaryota; Viridiplantae; Streptophyta; Magnoliopsida; Rosales; Rosaceae
Description: long non-coding RNA (PPER_LNC003338)
Source: RNAcentral
GGCCCUCCUUGUCAACUGAAUCCUAGAACAAGUCAUGAACUACAACACUUACUUCCAACAAUGACGAGAUGCUUGUGGAAAUCUUGGUUUGUUCACCCAUCAAAAGUUAACAGUCGCUUUAUGUAUGGUUGCAUAUGGAACACCUGCCGAUCAAAUAGAUGAAAACCUAAGAAUUACUGAAACCACAUCCACUAAGAAUUUGAAGAGAUUCACCCAUACAAUCCAUGCAAUAUGC